RNAcentral lists this transfer RNA (54 nucleotides) under Agonita chinensis. RNAcentral's name for it is "tRNA-Arg". The record is from RNAcentral. Lineage: Eukaryota; Metazoa; Arthropoda; Insecta; Coleoptera; Chrysomelidae.
GUGAGAAGCAUUAAAAUGCAUUUAGUUUCGACCUAAAAGAUGAGAAUUCCCACU